Pongo abelii (Sumatran orangutan) is the source of this 148-nucleotide unclassified non-coding RNA. It matches the Rfam family "Metazoan signal recognition particle RNA". Rfam says of the family: The signal recognition particle (SRP) is a universally conserved ribonucleoprotein. NCBI's taxonomy places the organism in Eukaryota, Metazoa, Chordata, Mammalia, Primates, Hominidae. The record is from Ensembl.
GCUGGGCGUGUUGGCACACGCCUGUAAUCCCAGCUACUCGGGAGGCUGAGACAGGAGAAUCACUUGAGCCCAGAAGGUGGAGGUUGCAGUGAGCUGAGAUUGUGCCACUGCACUCCAGCCUGGGCAACAGAGCAAGACUCUGUCUUCC